Molecule: ribosomal RNA, 478 nt
Filed under: uncultured bacterium
Lineage: Bacteria
Description: partial 16S ribosomal RNA
Rfam family: Bacterial small subunit ribosomal RNA
Source: RNAcentral
GACGAACGCUGGCGGCGUGCUUAACACAUGCAAGUCGAACGGUAAGGCCCUUCGGGGUACACGAGUGGCGAACGGGUGAGUAACACGUGGGUGAUCUGCCCUGCACUUCGGGAUAAGCCUGGGAAACUGGGUCUAAUACCGGAUAGGACCACUGCCUGCAUGGGUGGUGGUGGAAAGCUUUUGCGGUGUGGGAUGGGCCCGCGGCCUACCAGCUUGUUGGUGGGGUGAUGGCCUACCAAGGCGACGACGGGUAGCCGGCCUGAGAGGGUGACCGGCCACACUGGGACUGAGAUACGGCCCAGACUCCUACGGGAGGCAGCAGUGGGGAAUAUUGCACAAUGGGCGCAAGCCUGAUGCAGCGACGCCGCGUGAGGGAUGACGGCCUUCGGGUUGUAAACCUCUUUCAGCACCGACGAAGCGCAAGUGACGGUAGGUGCAGAAGAAGGACCGGCCAACUACCUGCCAGCCGCCGCCGUAA